Molecule: ribosomal RNA, 305 nt
Filed under: uncultured bacterium
Lineage: Bacteria
Description: bacterial SSU rRNA
Rfam family: Bacterial small subunit ribosomal RNA
Source: RNAcentral
AUCCUACGGGAGGCAGCAGUGAGGAAUAUUGGUCAAUGGCCGAGAGGCUGAACCAGCCAAGUCGCGUGAGGGAUGACGGCCCUACGGGUUGUAAACCUCUUUUGUCGGGGAGCAAGACCCGCCACGAGUGGCGGAGCGAGAGUACCCGAAGAGAAGGCAUCGGCUAACUCCGUGCCAGCAGCCGCGGUAAUACGGAGGAUGCGAGCGUUAUCCGGAUUUAUUGGGUUUAAAGGGUGCGCAGGCGGACCAUCAAGUCAGCGGUAAAAUAGAGGGGCCCAACCCCAUCCCGCCGUUGAAACUGGCGG